UUCUGCACGCCCAGGCAGACUUCACCACAACCUACGAGACGACAAAAGUAGGAAGUCAACUGUCCUACACGUGUGUUGUCAACUUCCACCCAUUUGGUAACAAAACCUGUCUCCCAGACGGAAAGUGGUCUGACUUCAAAUGUGAACCUGAUGUCUGUCCUGCUUUCUGUGACCCAUCACAAAACAAGUGUUACUCCAUCUUUUAUGAUGAGAAAAAAAACAUGGACUGAUGCCCUAGCAACCUGCGUGGUCAAUGGAUCUCUGGUUGAUAUAAAAACACCCUCGGAUUACAGUUUCUUAAACAAAACAGUGUGGAGAGGAGAGAUAUUUUGGAUUGGCCUUAAUAACAUCAAUGACGUCGACGCUUGGACGUGGACAGAUGGAACAACCGUCAGUUUCUAAAAAUGGGGGACGUCCUCUUCUGACCCUAAUAAACACUGCGUGAUCUGGGACAGUACUAGCGGGAAAUACGAAACUAGAGAUUGCAACGAGGUACACCUGUACAUAUGCCGAAUUUAUCCGGCUAAUACUGUGGAAUUCUUCGUCGUACGCUCAGACAGGGACCCCAGUGACUCGACCAAAAGCUGCUGUAUCUCGUACGUUCUCCAAG
Long non-coding RNA from Gigantopelta aegis, 610 nucleotides. RefSeq lists it as uncharacterized. Lineage: Eukaryota; Metazoa; Mollusca; Gastropoda; Neomphalida; Peltospiridae. The transcript is spliced from 4 exons. The record is from RefSeq and is a predicted model, not a curated record.